Molecule: long non-coding RNA, 1783 nt
Organism: Acanthopagrus latus (yellowfin seabream)
Lineage: Eukaryota; Metazoa; Chordata; Actinopteri; Spariformes; Sparidae
Exons: 3
Source: RefSeq, a predicted model, not a curated record
UGAUUUUUUGUCCCUGUAAUUAUUACUUCAAUUAUGUAUAUAAUUCUACAAGCAAAUAACAUUUGAGUGCUUUUACUUUAAAAUGUCGGUUUUCAUGUGGUUUGUUAUUUGGUGUUUGUUUGUAAGAAUGUAUCCUCAAUUUUGCAUAUAAAUUUUACUCUGUAUUCCAAGUAAUAUUCACUAAACUACUCCAUUAACUUUAUUAGUUGAAAUGUGCAAGUAAAAUGUACUUGGGUGAUAUCAGUGAACCUGGCAACCUCCCUUGCACUCGGUGUGUGACGUCAGGCCGUUCGUUGCAUGCUGUGCUGUUGAGUGCCUCUGCCCUCGCACAUGUGGACACCUGAGACCGUGGAUCAGCAGUGGGAUUUUAGUCGACAUGGGACCGCGGAGAACCUAAGGUCAUUUGCUCAUCACUUUGCAAUUUCCAGUCCACAGCUGAGAUAAGGAUGUCAGCCAAGAGGCAGUGAAGGAGGACUGCAGUCAACACUUGAUGAAAGUCAUCGUCAUCUGUCAGAACCUGGAACAGGAAAGCCAAGACCUCAGCUAUGUGUCUGUAGUCAUAGAGGGGAAAGAGGUGUUGGAGGACUGCAGGAGUGUGGCAAAUGCUUGUCUGCUCCUCAUGGGUGUCAUUUAUGCAGUCAAUCUGAGUUACCCACUGAAACUCAAAUACACAUUUGAGGUAUUUCAGAAAAUGCUUCUUGAGCUCGAUGCUCUCAAAAUGUCUUCAAAGGUCCAGGCUCUCCACAGGAAACUACUAGCAUGAGUGUGUUGAAUGCUGCAGUGUUUUGAAUCCAUGUGCCCAUGCACAGGAAAGGUUUUUAGUUCUUGUUCUUCUCACAUUUCCUUCUGUGAUCACAGCGAUCCAGUGUUAGUAGACAGUUGAUUCAGUUGCUGUUGUGAUACCUCUUCUCUGUUCUGAGGUUUAAAAGAAAGGAAUACCCUACAUAUGGGAAAUUGCCAAGGUGUGCGUGCGUGUGCGUGUGUCAUUUCUGAAAGUCAUUUCUUCCCCAAUUUUUAGAAAUCUGUGAAUAUUUGGAAGAAAGUGUCAUCAGCAGCAGGUCAUGUUUUCUUUUAAGAGGAUAUUCACACUAAUUCUCCAUUGAGUGUGUGGGAGGAUUCCUCACCUGCAAUACAAAGGCUGUGUUUAUUAGAUUUUAAAGGAUGUUCACUGUUUCUCACUGUUUCUCAGCCCUAUUGUGUGUGGACAGGAGUGUGCGUACGUGUGCAUGUGUGCAUGAGUGGGUGUCUGUCUGUAAUGAGACAGAAGUGUGUGUGUGUGUGUGUUUUCAAUCUUUGUUCAUGUACACCAAAGGAAGGUUAUGAUGUUAUGUAGACAUACAUAUAUGUCAGUGCAAAUUGGAAAAUAAAAUGUCCAUUUGAAAAAUUGAAAAUGUUUAUUUAUUCACUUCACAGAAAUGGCAACAAAUUUAUUGUGGUAAUGUGAAGUCAUAAAUUAAAUUUAAUUCAAGUAAAUAUUACUUAAUCAUUUCAUAGAAUUAAACAAAGAAAAGCUUAGUUAAAUAAGAGUAAGAACCACCUGAAAUAUUUAACUGGAUUUUGCAAUUAAAAUGCAAUGGUAAUUUAGUAAAAUUUACUUCCAAUAGGUGAGUUCUGCUUGUGAGAUUUACUUGAGUAUUUUUUGUAAAGAAAAGGUGUUUUUAGGAAGUAAAUGCUACUUAGAAUUAUCCUGAGUAAAAAUUACAAGGGAUUUCCGUGUGGAAAAACUUGCCUAGCUUUUUUUAAGUAAAUGUCACUCCAAAUUUUUUUCAGUGCAGAGGGGCAA